UACGAAGGGGGAGAGCGUUGUUCGGAAUUACUGGGCGUAAAGGGCGUGUAGGCGGUUUAUUAAGUCGGGCGUGAAAGCCCAGGGCUCAACCCUGGAACUGCGCCCGAGACUGGUAAGCUUGAGUUCGGAAGAGGGGCGUGGAAUUCCCAGUGGAGAGGUGAAAUUCGUAGAGAUUGGGAAGAACACCAGCGGCGCAGGCGGCGCACUGGUCCGAUUCUGACGCUGAGGCGCGACAGCGUGGGGAGCAAACAGG
This 253-nucleotide ribosomal RNA is filed under the name uncultured bacterium. RNAcentral's name for it is "partial 16S ribosomal RNA". It matches the Rfam family "Bacterial small subunit ribosomal RNA", at positions 524 to 776 of the family's 1533-position model. The record is from RNAcentral.